GACGAACGCUGGCGGCGUGCUUAACACAUGCAAGUCGAACGGAAAGGCCCUGCUUUUGUGGGGUGCUCGAGUGGCGAACGGGUGAGUAACACGUGAGUAACCUGCCCUUGACUUUGGGAUAACUUCAGGAAACUGGGGCUAAUACCGGAUAGGAGCUCCUGCUGCAUGGUGGGGGUUGGAAAUUUUCGGCGGUUGGGGAUGGACUCGCGGCUUAUCAGCUUGUUGGUGGGGUAGUGGCUUACCAAGGCUUUGACGGGUAGCCGGCCUGAGAGGGUGACCGGCCACAUUGGGACUGAGAUACGGCCCAGACUCCUACGGGAGGCAGCAGUGGGGAAUAUUGCACAAUGGGCGGAAGCCUGAUGCAGCAACGCCGCGUGCUGGAUGACGGCCUUCGGGUUGUAAACCGCUUUCGCCUGUGACGAAGCGUGAGUGACGGUAAUGGGUAAAGAAGCACCGGCUAACUACGUG
RNAcentral lists this ribosomal RNA (468 nucleotides) under uncultured bacterium. RNAcentral describes it as "partial 16S ribosomal RNA". It matches the Rfam family "Bacterial small subunit ribosomal RNA", at positions 28 to 507 of the family's 1533-position model. The record is from RNAcentral.